GGAUGCGAUCAUACCAGCACUAAAGCACCGGAUCCCAUCAGAACUCUGAAGUUAAGCGUGCUUGGGCGAGAGUAGUACUAGGAUGGGUGACCUCCUGGGAAGUCCUUGUGUUUGUGUUGCAUUCC
RNAcentral lists this ribosomal RNA (125 nucleotides) under Triticum aestivum (bread wheat). The record is from RNAcentral. Lineage: Eukaryota; Viridiplantae; Streptophyta; Magnoliopsida; Poales; Poaceae.